CAAUCAAUGGAAAAAGACAUUUAUGCUUGGUUCCUCUCUGUGUAGCAGGUCGAUAAUGUUGUGUUUAGUUGUAGCAGGUCGAUAAUGUUGUGUUUAGUUGUACAGGUUGAUAAUGUUGUAGCAGGUUGGUAAUGUUGUGUUUAGUUGUAUAGGUUGAUAAUGUUGUAGCAGGUUGAUAAUGUUGUAGCAGGUUGAUAAUGUCGUGUUUAGUUGUAUAGGUUGAUAAUGUUGUAGCAGGUUGAUAAUGUC
Salmo salar (Atlantic salmon) is the source of this 249-nucleotide non-coding RNA. NCBI's taxonomy places the organism in Eukaryota, Metazoa, Chordata, Actinopteri, Salmoniformes, Salmonidae. The record is from RefSeq and is a predicted model, not a curated record.